This 3322-nucleotide long non-coding RNA is filed under the name Homo sapiens (human). Its description in RNAcentral is "HSALNT0396259". Lineage: Eukaryota; Metazoa; Chordata; Mammalia; Primates; Hominidae. The record is from RNAcentral.
GUUCUUUUUCUUCUGCCUUGGCAACGGGCAACAUGCCAGAUGCUGGCUGAGUGAAAAGUGAAACCUCUGAUGUUUUAAGCUCCUGAGAUUUGGGGCUUAAAGUAGCUGGGACUACAGGUGUGUGCCACCAUGCCUGGCUCAUUUUUUUCCCUGGCUUGUUACUGCAGCAGAACUGAACCUGCCUUGAGUCCAGUGUGGCAGCAGAAUCUGUAGAUGUCACUCAUCCAGUCCUGUCUUGUGCAUGACGAUGGUCUCAUAUCAUUAAGCUGUAGGGCUGGAAUGAGAGGCAAGGUGGAUGCUUGACUUGGGAACAAAAUUUCAGGGGGUGUCAAAGAACUCAAGAACUUUGUCCUGAACUCAUAAAUAUUAUUUUAUUGUGAUAUUUUGUAAAAGUCAAGAUUAAUGCAAAACCAUGAUGAAUAAAAUGGUAACAUUAAAUCUAUCUAUCUAUCUAUCUAUCUAUCUAUCUAUCUAUCUAUCUAUAGAUAUGUAUAUAUAUACACAUAGGUCAGGCGCGGUGGCUCACACCUGUAAUCCCAACACUUUGGGAAGCCGAUGCAGGUGGAUUGCUUGAGACCAGGAGUUCGAGACCAGCCUGGCCAACAUGGUGAAACCCCAUCUCUGCUAAAAGUACAAAAAAUUAGCAGGUCGUGAUACUGCACACCUGUAAUUCCAGCUACUUGGAAGGCUGACGCACGAGAAUCGCUUGAACCCAGGAGGCGGAGGUUGGAGUGAGUAGAGAUCAUACCACUGCACUGCACUCCAGCCUGGGCAACAGAAUGAGACUCCAUCUCAAAAAAAAAAUAUAUGUAUAUAUAUAUACACAUAUAUGAGAGAGACAAGGUCUCACUCUGUCACCCAGGCUGGAGUGCAGUGGCACAAUCAUAGCUCACUGCAGCAUUGACCUCCUGAGCACAAGCAAUCCUCCCACCUCAGCCUCCCGAGUAGCUGGGACUACAGGUGUGCACCACCACACCCAGCUAAUGCUUGAAUUUUUAUAGAGAUGGGGUCUUGCUAUGUUGCCCAGACUGGUCUUGAACUCCUGGGCUCAAGUGAUCCCUCUGUCUCAGCCUCCCAAAGUGCUGAGAUUAUGGGCGUGAGCCACUGCUCCUGGCAUACAUUGUCCUAGUCUAUUGUUAGAAGCAAGUUAUUGGGUCCAGCUCACACUCGAGGGAUCACACAGAGUGCAGACAUCAGGAGGUGGGAAUCAUGGAGGAGUCUUGGAGCCUGUCUGCCUCACCUCCUCUCCUCUAGUAUUCCUAGUUUUUUUUUUUUUUUCGAGAUGGAGUUUUGCUCUUGUUGCUUAGACUGGAGUGCAAUGGCAGGAUCUCGGCUCGCUACAACCUCUGCCUCCCAGGUCCAGGUGAUCCUCCUGUCUCAGCCUCCCAAGUAGCUGGGAUUACAGGAGCCCCCUGCCACACCUGGCUAAUUUUUGUAUUUUUAGUAGAGAUGGGGUUUCACCAUGUUGGUCAGGCUGGUCUUGAACUCAUGACCUCAAAUGAUCUGCCUGUCUGGGCCUCCCAAAGUGCUGGGGUUACAGGCAUGAGCCACCAAGCCUGGCCUCUUUGCUGAUUUUCAUCUGUAACUUUCACUGUAAUAAACCAUAACUGGGAGUAACACCACUUUUCUGGGAUCUAUCAAUCUCAGCAAAUUAUUGACCCUGAGGGUGGUCUCAGGGACCCCCGACACAAGCCCCAUUUCCCAGCCACCAUCUUUUGCAAUCUCCAUUGCCCUAGUCACCGAAUGGCAUAUUCUUAUCCAUUUGCUAUUUCCUGCCUCUCUCCUCUGGAUCAAAGGCUCUGGAAGGUCGAAAACUCAUCUGUCUUUCCCAUGAAAGGCUGUAGAACAAAAUGGUCAGGGGUCAAGUCCUGGCCCUGUCACUUUUUCAUUGUUGCUGAGUCAAGGUCUCAGCCAGGGUGGAGUGCAGCAGUGCAGUCAUAGCUUACUGCAGCCUUGAACUCCCGGGCUCAAGCAAUCCUCCCACCUCAGCCUCCCUUGUGGCUGGGACUACAGUCACAUGCCACCACAGCCAGCUAUUUUUUUUCUUUUAAGACAGGGUGUCGCUCUGUCACCCAGGCUGGAGUGCAGUGGCAUGAUCUCGGCUCACUGCAACGUCUGCCUCCCAGGUUCAACUGAUUCUCCUGCCUCAGCCUCCCGAGUAGCUGGAAUUACAGGCAUGCGCCACCACGCCUGGCUAAUUUUUUUUUGUAUUUUUAGUAGAGACGGGGUUUCACCAUGUUGGCCAGGCUGGUCUUGAACUUCUGACCUCAGGUGAUCCGCCUGCCUCGGCCUCCCAAAGUGCUGGGAUUACAGGCUUGAGCCACCAAGCCCGGCCCCACACCCAGCUAAUUUUUAUUUUUUGAGACGGAGUCUUGCUUUGUUGCCCAGGCUGGAGUGCAGUGGCACGAUCUCAGCUCACUGCAAUCUCCACCUCCCAAGUUCAAGCGAUUCUCCUGCCUCAGCCUCCGCAGUAGCUGGGAUUACAGGCAUCCGCCACUACGCCAGCUAAUUUUUUUGUAUUUUUAGUAGAGACGAGGUUUCAUCUUGUUGGCCAGGCUGGUCUUGAACUCCUGACCUCAAGUGAUCCGUCAGUCUCAGCCUCCCAGAAUGCCUGAAGGUUAGCUUUUAAGUGUUGGUUACUUUAUCUCCUCAGUAGCUAGAUCAGGGUCCAGGUGGUCAGGAUUCAGUCAAAAGCAAGUGAUUAAGGAGACUCCUCUGGGGACUUUGCGAUGGAGAGGCAGGAGGGGCCACGAGCGGGGGUGGGGAAGAGAAGAGGGCACAGAGGCCAGCGGAUGAGAGAGACACCAGGGAGCCUGGGAUGCCUGCCCGAGGCUCUGGCCACGCCCAUGCCCUGCCUGUCCCGCUAAGCACACAGAGGAAAGGCCAUGUGAGGACACAGCAAGAAGGCGGCCAUCUGCAAGCCAAGAAGAGAGUCCUCACCAGGAACCAACUCUGCUGACACCUUGCUGUUGGACUUCCAGCCUCUAUAAAUGUUCACAAGCACACCACUGUUUACACCCAUCUAGAAGGCCCCUCCCAGCUGACAUCUUUCUGCCUACCUUUCAGGAAGACAGACGAAACUCUCUGCCUUCAGGUGGGGCAAGACUGCUGAUGGCUGGAACAGGAGCUUGGCACCUCCACCCUGACCCAGACACAAGCCUGUCUGUCCCACUCAAAUCGAGCUGGCCAGAGACUACAACUGUGUUGGUUCCCAAGACAUAGAAAAGCCAGAAGAGGUCGGGCGCAGUGGCUCACGCCUGUCAGCACUUUGGGAAGCCGAGGCAGGCAGAUUACCUAAGGUCAAGAGUUCAAGACCAAUCUG